UUUCUUUUGAAAUCUUCUUUUCCUCCAAAAGAGAAAAUGUAAAAUUUUAACAAAAACAAAACAAAAAUGACAAAUUUAAUUUCACCCUUAAAUUUAAAAUUAAAUUAUUUUAAAUUUGAAUUAAUUUGUAUUUAGAUCAAUUUCGGUUCAUAUUAAUUUAAAUUCAAGUCAAUUAUUGUUUGAAUUAAUUUGUAAAUCAAAUGGAUCAUUUGAACAAGUAUAAUUUUAUCUUUAUAUAUUUUUAAUUUGGUUUUAAAAUAUCAAGAUUUAAAGUGUAUACAGAUCAAGUUACUCACCCCUUAGCAGCUAAUGAAUUCGCAUCUGGCUUGACUGCUGGAAUUUCCUGGGAAGCCUUUGUAUAUUACAAAAAUUUUAGUAGCUUUCUCCCAAAUACUAAAAAAAAAAAAAAAAAAAAUGAGAUUGAGACCCGCUAUAGGUCUCAUUAGAACCCGGCCCCUGGAAAGAAGAUGCCUCGUUGAGUCUCACCUUCACAGGUCUGUUGUAAACAGAGGGCUGUAUGGGUGAAAAUCCCUGCGGGAGUGACUGUGCCCUUUUUUAGUCCCUUGAGCCUGGGCUUGCGCCUUUAUGCACUUAUAACAAGUUCUCCAAUGAGUUGAUUUGCUCACGAGAAAUCCUUCUAUUCUCAGUUUCGGGGUGAAA
Molecule: long non-coding RNA, 660 nt
Filed under: Durio zibethinus
Lineage: Eukaryota; Viridiplantae; Streptophyta; Magnoliopsida; Malvales; Malvaceae
Description: long non-coding RNA (DZIB_LNC001459)
Source: RNAcentral